Long non-coding RNA from Raphanus sativus (radish), 1991 nucleotides. RefSeq lists it as uncharacterized. Lineage: Eukaryota; Viridiplantae; Streptophyta; Magnoliopsida; Brassicales; Brassicaceae. The transcript is spliced from 2 exons. The record is from RefSeq and is a predicted model, not a curated record.
GUCGGCUUCAUGAUUAUAUUUAUGGGAGAUAUGAAAAACGCAAUAAAAACAAAUACAGAGGAUAGAGCUUAAAUAUCCACGGUGAUUCCCAACAAAAUUUUCUUCUGUGUCUUGUUGAUAAUAGCUCCAAUGAAUAUUAGACUCGGAGAUGUGAGAUCUCCUGAUCUACCGCCAGAUACAAGAUUUCUCUAAUCACCAGGGCUUCAGCAACCAGCGGUAAGUCGACGAAAUCCUAUACCCUAGAGUUUCGAUUGAGGAUGAGUUCCCUUGAUCCAACUCGACUGAAAGGAGAGGCAUUUUUCGGGAACUCGAGAUUUUAUCGUGAAAGGGAGAGGAGGGGUUUGAAUUUUUCUGUCAGACCAAUUUAUUUAUAGUGUUGUUUUUUGAGAAGACCCAAGCUAGUCCAGCCUUCUUUUUCGCUGCAUCCCAAGCCACAUCGGUUAUACAUAUUGUGAAAACACUACACAUGUUCUCUGUGAUCGACAUCCUGAUAGAUCCAGUCGUAGAUAAGUGAUCCACACAGUGUCUUGUUUUAUUGUGCUUGGUUCCAUUCCUUCGCCCAAGCUAAGCUCUUUGUGGCUACAUCUUCCGGUUGUGAUGUCUUUGCUUCGAAGAUGAAGGAGUUGUGAUCUUUCCGUAGAGACCUAACAUAUCCAAGAGAGGAUGGUAUUAGGGACACCAUUUGGUGGAAGGCAGAUUGUUGUCUGAAGCGGACCACUGUUGCAUCAAAAAUGUCAUCAGUAGCUAUGUGAACUACAUAUUUGAGGGGGAUGUUGAGCCACACCUGUUUAGUGAAAGGGCAAAAAAAAAGAUAUGCAUUGGAGACUCUAUUUCUUGGCAUCUAGGACAUUUUACAUCUGAAAUGAUUCCCCUUUUCUGUAGGUUUUUUCCUAGAAGCAGAGCACCUUAAAUAAAAUAAUGGACCACAUGAAUACUUUUAAUUUUGGUGAGCAUUUUUUGUCGAGAGUUUAUAAAAUUAUUAGUUAUGUGCAUGACGCAUUAAAACUGCUAGUGUAUAGAAAGAAGGUAGAAAAUCUGACGGGUUUCCUGAAAACAUCAAAAGUGGAGAAAGUGAAAUCUAGAAGUUCGAAACUUGGCAGAGCUGUGUAGGCCAUACUGCCAGAAGAGUCAUAAAUGCCAAAUAUAUAUUUUGAUUAAUAAUACUCUUUGCAGCAUGAAUAAUAUAACACAACUAUUUCUGUUAUUAAUACAAUAUUACAAUAUUUUAGACUCUCUCUUCUCUCUUUUUUGAGAGAGAUGAGUUGUGGGGGUUCUCUUCUUCUUUCUUCUUCUGACUUAUAACAUUAACUCUGGUGCACGGUACUCUUCUCGACACGGUGUAACCGGCGAUGACUCUGGUGCACGGCGAUCUUCUCAACGCGGUGUAGCCAGCUCGGACUCAUAUGAUUCGCGGGCUUCUCGAUGGAAUCAUCCGGCUUUUGGGUAUGAUCGGGGUUUCAGUUUUCUUAUCACUUCAUUGAUGCGACGAUAAGUGGUUCAGGAUAUGAUGAAGCGAUACCGCGGAUGAGUUCUCGGAUCUUUAUGAUUGAAGCUCUCCGUUGGUGGGUGGUUCCAGUGUUUGUGACGUUCGCCUUUGCGGGUAUGAUUUGAUUGAGAUUGCAAUCUCGUUGAUUGGUGUUCUGCAAGGGAUAGGGCUCUGGCGGGGAUGGUCUUUGCCGUUGGGUUGUUCUGGUUCCGGUGGUGUUCCGGCGAAUCGACAGCUGGAUUUUCCAAUGAGACGGCCAUGUGACGCGUGUUGCCUUAUCAGGUGAGGGUUUCAGCAAGUGUACCGGCCACUUUAGACGUGUGGCUACGAGUGGCAUCUCUUGAUUUUUUGAAUGUGGGUCUGUGUUUGGUUUAUUGGGCCUUCGGCUUGUUUGUGUCCAUUGUCGCUUCUUUGUUGUUGUUGGUUUAUUUUUUCUUGUCUGUUUUUGGGAUUUGUCCAAUCUAGAUGGAAAAAAAAAGAAAAAAAGUGGGACAUUCAACCACAA